Molecule: ribosomal RNA, 460 nt
Filed under: uncultured bacterium
Lineage: Bacteria
Description: partial 16S ribosomal RNA
Rfam family: Bacterial small subunit ribosomal RNA
Source: RNAcentral
CCUACGGGCGGCAGCAGUGAGGAAUAUUGGUCAAUGGACGAGAGUCUGAACCAGCCACGUAGCGUGAAGGAUGACUGCCCUAUGGGUUGUAAACUUUUUUUAUAAAGGAAUAAAACGAGGCACGUGUGCCUUUUUGCACGGACCUUAUGAAUAUGGAUCGGCUCACUCCGUGCAAGUAGCCGCGGUAAUACGUAGUAUCAGAGCGUUAUCGGGAUUUAUUGGGUGGAAAGGGAGCGUAGAUGGGUUGUUAAGUCAGUUGUGAAAGUUUGAGGCUCAACCGUAAAAUUGGAUUUGAAACUGGCAGUCUUGAGUACAGGUGAGGUAGGCGGAAUUCGUGGUGUAGCGGUGAAAUGCUUAGAUAUCACGAGGAACCCCGAUGGCGAAGGCAGCUUACUAAACUGUGACUGACAUUGAUGCUCGAAAGUGUGGGGAGCAAACAGGAUUAGAUACCCUUGUAGUC